GUGGGGAAUCUUAGACAAUGGGGGCAACCCUGAUCUAGCCAUGCCGCGUGAGUGAUGAAGGCCUUAGGGUCGUAAAGCUCUUUCGCCGGGGAAGAUAAUGACUGUACCCGGUAAAGAAACCCCGGCUAACUCCGUGCCAGCAGCCGCGGUAAUACGGAGGGGGUUAGCGUUGUUCGGAAUUACUGGGCGUAACGCGCGCGUAGGCGGAUCGGAAAGUUGGGGGUGAAAUCCCGGGGCUCAACCCCGGAAUUGCCUUCAAAACUCCCGGUCUUGAGGUCGAGAGAGGUGAGUGGAAUUCCGAGUGUAGAGGUGAAAUUCGUAGAUAUUCGGAGGAACACCAGUGGCGAAGGCGGCUCACUGGCUCGAUACUGACGCUGAGGUGCGAAAGCGUGGGGAGCAAACAGGAUUAGAAACCCGGGUAGUCC
Molecule: ribosomal RNA, 425 nt
Filed under: uncultured bacterium
Lineage: Bacteria
Description: partial 16S ribosomal RNA
Rfam family: Bacterial small subunit ribosomal RNA
Source: RNAcentral